UUGACCUCAAAUCAGGUAGGACUACCCGCUGAACUUAAGCAUAUCAAUAAGCGGAGGAAAAGAAACUAACAAGGAUUCCCCUAGUAACUGCGAGUGAAGCGGGAAAAGCUCAAAUUUGAAAUCUGGCGGUUCUUGAACCGUCCGAGUUGUAAUCUAGAGAAGCGUUGCCUGUGCUGGACCGUGUAAAAGUCUCCUGGAAUGGAGCAUCACAGAGGGUGAGAAUCCCGUCUUUGACACGGACUGCCUGUACRAUAUGGUGCGCUCCCGAAGAGUCGAGUUGUUUGGGAAUGCAGCUCAAAAUGGGUGGUAAAUGCCAUCUAAAGCUAAAUAUUGGCGAGAGACCGAUAGCGAACAAGUACCGUGAGGGAAAGAUGAAAAGAACUUUGGAAAGAGAGUUAAACAGUACGUGAAAUUGCUGAAAGGGAAACGCUUGAAGUCAGUCGCGUCGGCUAGAAAUCAGCCUUGCUUUUGCUUGGUGUACUUUCUGGUUGACGGGUCAGCAUCAGUUUUGACCAUUGGAUAAAGUCGUUGGGAAUGUGGCAUCUUAGGAUGUGUUAUAGCCCAUUGUCGCAUACAGUGGUUGGGAUUGAGGAACUCAGCACGCCGAAAGGCCGGGUCUUUUCUGACCACGUUCGUGCUUAGGAUGCUGGCAUAAUGGCUUUAAUCGACCCGUC
This 674-nucleotide ribosomal RNA is filed under the name Inocybe fuscidula var. fuscidula. Its description in RNAcentral is "eukaryotic LSU rRNA". It matches the Rfam family "Eukaryotic large subunit ribosomal RNA", at positions 1 to 653 of the family's 3401-position model. Lineage: Eukaryota; Fungi; Basidiomycota; Agaricomycetes; Agaricales; Inocybaceae. The record is from RNAcentral.